This 510-nucleotide ribosomal RNA is filed under the name uncultured bacterium. RNAcentral describes it as "bacterial SSU rRNA". It matches the Rfam family "Bacterial small subunit ribosomal RNA", at positions 28 to 496 of the family's 1533-position model. The record is from RNAcentral.
GACGAACGCUGGCGGCGUGCCUAAUACAUGCAAGUCGAACGCACUCUCGUUUAGAUUGAAGGAGCUUGCUCCUGAUUGAUAAACAUUUGAGUGAGUGGCGGACGGGUGAGUAACACGUGGGUAACCUGCCCUAAAGUGGGGGAUAACAUUUGGAAACAGAUGCUAAUACCGCAUAAAACCCAACACCGCAUGGUGUAGGGUUGAAAGAUGGUUUCGGCUAUCACUUUAGGAUGGACCCGCGGUGCAUUAGUUAGUUGGUGAGGGGUAAAGCUCACCAAGACCGUGAUGCAUAGCCGACCUGAGAGGGUAAUCGGCCACACUGGGACUGAGACACGGCCCAGACUCCUACGGGAGGCAGCAGUAGGGAAUCUUCCACAAUGGACGAAAGUCUGAUGGAGCAACGCCGCGUGAGUGAAGAAGGUUUCGGAUCGUAAAACUCUAGUUGUUGGAGAAGAAUGUAUCUGAUAGUAACUGAUCAGGUAGUGACGGUAUCCAACCAGAAAGCCACGG